AGUGAACGCUGGCGGUAGGCCUAACACAUGCAAGUCGAACGGCAGCACAGUAAGAGCUUGCUCUUACGGGUGGCGAGUGGCGGACGGGUGAGGAAUACAUCGGAAUCUACUUUUUCGUGGGGGAUAACGUAGGGAAACGUACGCUAAUACCGCAUACGACCUACGGGUGAAAGCAGGGGAUCUUCGGACCUUGCGCGAGUGAAUGAGCCGAUGUCGGAUUAGCUAGUUGGCGGGGUAAAGGCCCACCAAGGCGACGAUCCGUAGCUGGUCUGAGAGGAUGAUCCGCCACACUGGAACUGAGACACGGUCCAGACUCCUACGGUGGGCAGCAGUGGGGACUCUUGGACAAUGGGCGCAAGCCUGAUCCAGCCAUACCGCGUGGGUGAAGAAGGCCUUCUGGUUGUAAAGCCCUUUUGUUGUGAGAGAAAAGCAGCAGGUUAAUACCCCGCUGUUCUGACGGUACCCAAAGAAUAAGCACCGGCUAACUUCGUG
RNAcentral lists this ribosomal RNA (492 nucleotides) under uncultured bacterium. RNAcentral describes it as "partial 16S ribosomal RNA". It matches the Rfam family "Bacterial small subunit ribosomal RNA", at positions 29 to 507 of the family's 1533-position model. The record is from RNAcentral.